Molecule: ribosomal RNA, 425 nt
Filed under: uncultured bacterium
Lineage: Bacteria
Description: bacterial SSU rRNA
Rfam family: Bacterial small subunit ribosomal RNA
Source: RNAcentral
UGAGGAAUUUUCCGCAAUGGACGAAAGUCUGACGGAGCAACGCCGCGUGCAGGAUGACGGCCUUCGGGUUGUAAACUGCUUUUAUCGGGGAAGAGAACGGACGGUACCUGAUGAAUAAGCCCCGGCUAACUACGUGCCAGCAGCCGCGGUAAUACGUAGGGGGCGAGCGUUGUCCGGAAUUAUUGGGCGUAAAGCGCACGCAGGCGGUUCGCCAAGUUCGGAGUGACAAUCACCGGCUUAACCGGUGAACGACUUCGAAAACUGGUGGACUUGAGAGCGAGAGAGGGACAUGGAACUCCGGGUGGAGCAGUGAAAUGCGUAGAGAUCCGGAAGAACACCAAAGGCGAAGGCAGUGUCCUGGCUCGUUUCUGACGCUCAGGUGCGAAAGCCAGGGGAGCGAACGGGAUUAGAUACCCCCGUAGUCC